CGGACCGGCGCACGGGUGAGUAACACGUAUGCAAUCCACCUGUAACAGGGGGAUAACCCGGAGAAAUCCGGACUAAUACCCCAUAAUAUGGGCUCUCCGCAUGGAGGGUCCAUUAAAGAGAGCAAUUUUGGUUACAGACGAGCAUGCGCUCCAUUAGCCAGUUGGCGGGGUAACGGCCCACCAAAGCGACGAUGGAUAGGGGUUCUGAGAGGAAGGUCCCCCACAUUGGAACUGAGACACGGUCCAA
RNAcentral lists this ribosomal RNA (247 nucleotides) under uncultured bacterium. RNAcentral describes it as "partial 16S ribosomal RNA". It matches the Rfam family "Bacterial small subunit ribosomal RNA", at positions 91 to 334 of the family's 1533-position model. The record is from RNAcentral.